AUUGAUUUUAUGCUUGCAUAAAUGAUUUUUGGAUUCGGAGCGAGUGGCGAACUGGUGAGUAACACGUGGGUAACCUGCCCCGAAGCGGGGGAUAACAUUUGGAAACAAGUGCUAAUACCGCAUAAUUAGUUGGAACCGCAUGGCUCCAACUUGAAAGAUGGCUCUGCUAUCACUUUGGGAUGGACCCGCGCCGUAUUAGUUAGUUGGUGAGAUAAAAGCCCACCAAGACGAUGAUACGUAGCCGACCUGAGAGGGUAAUCGGCCACAUUGGGACUGAGACACGGCCCAGACUCCUACGGGAGGCAGCAGUAGGGAAUCUUCCACAAUGGACGAAAGUCUGAUGGAGCAACGCCGCGUGAGUGAUGAAGGUUUUCGGAUCGUAAAACUCUGUUGUUAAAGAAGAACAAGUGUUAGAGUAACUGUUAACACUUUGACGGUAUUUAACCAGAAAGCCACGGCUAACUACGUGCCAGCAGCCGCGGUAAUACGUAGGUGGCAAGCGUUGUCCGGAUUUAUUGGGCGUAAAGCGAGCGCAGGCGGUUUUGUAAGUCUGCUGUGAAAGCCCUCAGCUCAACUGGGGAAGUGCAGUGGAAACUACAAAACUUGAGUACAGAAGAGGAAAGUGGAACUCCAUGUGUAGCGGUGAAAUGCGUAGAUAUAUGGAAGAACACCAGUGGCGAAGGCGGCUUUCUGGUCUGUUACUGACGCUGAGGCUCGAAAGCAUGGGUAGCGAACAGGAUUAGAUACCCUGGUAGUCCAUGCCGUAAACGAUGAAUACUAGGUGUUGGAGGGUUUCCGCCCUUCAGUGCCGCAGCUAACGCAUUAAGUAUUCCGCCUGGGGAGUACGACCGCAAGGUUGAAACUCAAAGGAAUUGACGGGGGCCCGCACAAGUGGUGGAGCAUGUGGUUUAAUUCGAUGCUACGCGAAGAACCUUACCGGCUCUUGACAUCUUCUGCCAACCCAAGAGAUUGGGCGUUCCCUUCGGGGACAGAAUGACAGGUGGUGCAUGGUUGUCGUCAGCUCGUGUCGUGAGAUGUUGGGUUAAGUCCCGCAACGAGCGCAACCCUUAUUAUUAGUUGCCAGCAUUUAGUUGGGCACUCUAGUGAGACUGCCGGUGAUAAA
RNAcentral lists this ribosomal RNA (1123 nucleotides) under uncultured bacterium. Its description in RNAcentral is "bacterial SSU rRNA". It matches the Rfam family "Bacterial small subunit ribosomal RNA", at positions 47 to 1162 of the family's 1533-position model. The record is from RNAcentral.